RNAcentral lists this long non-coding RNA (591 nucleotides) under Homo sapiens (human). Its description in RNAcentral is "non-protein coding LINC02281:7". The record is from RNAcentral. Lineage: Eukaryota; Metazoa; Chordata; Mammalia; Primates; Hominidae.
CAGGAACUGGUGAACUUUUUGAAGUCCCCCAAGUUCUUAGCACAGCACUGUUGUCAAGAGUGUUGGCGGGUCGCGGUGGCUCACGCUUGUAAUCCCAGCACUUUGGGAGGCUGAGGCGGGGGGAUCAUGAGGUCAGGAGUUGGAGAACCGCUAGGCCAACACGGUGAAAGCCCGUCUCUACUAAAAACACAAAAAAAUUAGCCGAGCGUAGUGGCGGGCGCCAGCAGUCCCAGCUGCUCCGGAAGCUGAGGCAGGAGAAUGACGUGACCCCGGGAGGCGGAGCUUGCAGCGAACCGAUAUCGCGAUACUGCACUCCAGCCUGGGCGACAGAGCGAGACUCCCUCUCAAAAAAAAAAAAAAAACUGUUAGGUAUAUAUUACGGUAUAUAUAUUAAGGCAGACCUGGGUCGGUCUCAUACUGGAAUGCCUAUUAGCUGCAUGAGGGGAAACAGUAACCAGAAAGUAGAGGACUGGACAACAUCUGGACCAAGGGAUCAAAAUUAACAUCAAUAAGUCCUAGAAUCAGGCGUUUCUUUAAGAGGCCCUACUUCCUCUAAUUGGAUAAUUCUAGAAACCGGUAUUUGAAUCUGAG